CUUCUUACCUUCUUCUUUUUCCCACUCAACACAGCGAUUGGCAAGCACCUGGAAAGCUGCCCAGGCCAUUGUGGCCACUUUCUGCUUCUUAGUUUGCUUCUCACUGGAGCUAGAUUCCGUCUGACUGCUCAAGCUACAGAGUCGAUCCAUGAGCUGAACGAGGCCACUGCGCACCAGGCACUUCUCUUCGCUCCUGAGCCAGACAGAACGGUAUGAGCUACUAGAAACAACUGACCUGGGUCCUCCCUGAAGGACCAUAGUCACUGGACCCACAAGGUGUGUCACGCCCCCGACACGCACAGCAGCCGUCAGCAAUUCCCGCAUGUGCACCAGUGCCUGCUUUCGAGUAUUUCCCCGCCGCCACCUCGUCUGUGCAGCCAGAAGAAAGCUGCUGCUGGACACCUGAAAGGCAUGAGAAGGAAGUCCACCUGACUCUUCGUGACUGUUCCAGGCCCCCGGUGCUGUUAGGUGCUAUUCGUCUGUAGUCAGCAAAACAUGACCUACAGCUUGGUCAGGGUCAGAAGGAGCCGACAUGCUGCGAAGAAAAACAGGCUGCCGCACAGCAUGAGAUAUCACCUUUGUUUCUGAAGCUGAUUUACAAGCUGGAACAGAAAAGAAUAAAAAGAUUGGCAUAUCUGCUGUCUGAUUUGUGAGGACAGCAACAACAGUUAUGCUACUACUCUAAGAGUAUCUUCGCUUUCUAGGAGAGUUCAUCUACGAAACUAGUGAGUACAGCACACUGAUGGUUUUUAGGCUAGAUAUUAGGGUAAAAAAAUGUUUAAACCUAGA
Molecule: long non-coding RNA, 789 nt
Organism: Canis lupus familiaris (dog)
Lineage: Eukaryota; Metazoa; Chordata; Mammalia; Carnivora; Canidae
Exons: 3
Source: RefSeq, a predicted model, not a curated record